Long non-coding RNA from Acanthopagrus latus (yellowfin seabream), 1465 nucleotides. RefSeq lists it as uncharacterized. The record is from RefSeq and is a predicted model, not a curated record. The transcript is spliced from 3 exons. Lineage: Eukaryota; Metazoa; Chordata; Actinopteri; Spariformes; Sparidae.
GUGUUUGAUGGGUUUCAGUUGUGUGGCUCUUUGCAGCCAAUCACUGUGGGGGGAGCACCUUAUAAAUGCAGGCAUAUGGCACCUGGUAGUCCUCUUGCCUGACGGCGCCUGGGUCAUGUCGCUUUUCCCGGCGCCCUUCACUUCCGCCUUUGUUUGGUUGCAGUGGCUCGCUUGGAUGUUGCAGCUGGUUGUGUGCUGCUUACUGUCUGCUACUGGUUGCUGUGUAGCUGAUCGCGAUGCUCCACACCAUGCUGACCGUGAUUGCCUGACCGGGUAAAGACAUCUGUGUAGCGGCAUAGCAUCCGCUAUUCUGCAAGAAAUCGCUGUUGCUUUGCCUCGCUGCUUUGCCUCACCGCUAGCUGCGUGCUUGCUGCUCAAUGCAAGCUGUUUUGCUUUAAGUGACGAUCGCUUUGACUCAUUGCUCGGCCUCACACUGCGCUGACACAGACUUUUAAUUGCAUCCGCGGUUGCGGUGCCUCAACGCUGUCUGCCUGGUUCCUGGCUGCUCACCACAGCUGGCUAAGAGUGUUAGCCUUCGUCCAGGCUUUGAGCGUUGCCGUGGCCUAAUUGUUGCUCGGCAAUGCCAUCUUGAACUGUAUACUGUCAACCCUGUCGCUUGUUGUUUUUGUGUUUUGUAUAUUAGAGGAUUCAGUAGGAGAGUUUAUCCCAUUUUCUUUGAUUGUAGUUUGACACUUUCUUUCUUUUGUAACAGCUGGUUUUACUGCAACCUGUAGUUCUGAUUUGUUAGCUUCAUGAUUAUUUUGGUCUUUGCAGGAUGCAGGUGCAUUUCGUUUGAUGUAAAUCUUAAUUCUAUUUGAUUUGAUAUUGUGUAUAAUUCUUAUUGAUGUGAUAAACUAAGUCCUGAUUUCUUUUUUGUGAUUAGUUGCAUUUAAUGUUUGUGCUCACCUGCUGUUCUCUGAUUUCCCCCAUUCAGGUGCUGAGCCUAGGGUGGUGGAUUGGUGUUGUGGUGGUAGUGUCCCUCUUGUGUUUGGCACUUUUUUUUUUUUUUUUUUUUAGGUUGCUUUUGGUUUCACUUUUAUUUACAUCACGUGGUGUUCCUGGGAUCCCCUUUGUUUAAGACCCAUCUCACCCCUAGGUCUCAGCCCUGAUUGGUCCCCCUUUUUGUCCCUGUGAGUAACUUGAUACGUUUUUAAGACUAUUUAAACUGAAAUCAAUAAAUGUUUUGUACCCAGAUAUGCUGUAAAACGGACCUGAGUGCCUUACUUGUUUACAAGUUGUCCUUUAAAAAAAAUAAAGUCCCUGGGUGAAACCCCUAGGGUGGCGUUGUUUGUCGUCUUAACUGAGUGCUGCCCAGAGCAUGCUCCUCGUGCCGCCACACAGGCUAGGUGUCAAACACACAGUUGCAGGCAAACACCAUUUUACACAGUAUACAACUAUAACCAUAACAAAGAUCUGAUCAAGCAAAAGUUUUUAAAAAUAACUAAACUGUUAUGUUAAUGUGGAA